Molecule: small nuclear RNA, 68 nt
Filed under: Trichobilharzia regenti
Lineage: Eukaryota; Metazoa; Platyhelminthes; Trematoda; Strigeidida; Schistosomatidae
Source: RNAcentral
GUACUCGCUUCAGCGGUACAUAUACUAAAAUUGGCACGAUACAGAGAAGAUUAGCAUGGCCCCUGUGC